Non-coding RNA from Oncorhynchus mykiss (rainbow trout), 581 nucleotides. The record is from RefSeq and is a predicted model, not a curated record. Lineage: Eukaryota; Metazoa; Chordata; Actinopteri; Salmoniformes; Salmonidae.
CUAUCACAUGGGUUUUAUUUUUACCUUGGUGUUUUCAACCCUGUCCAGUUGGUGGCGGUAACACACCUUUUUGGGCUGUAGUCUGCCAUAAAACAUACAGAAGAAGAAGACACAGGAGGUUGUUGUAUAAAACACCCAUCUCAGCAUUACGUCUUCAAUCUAAGGGCAACCAUGGCAGAGGGAGAAUCAUUCAUCCAUGUAUAAGGGGUCAGUGACUUGGGACUGAUUCUGGAAUCAAACAGCUUUUGGCCCAUGAUGGUGUUUCAUGCUGCACUCUUCUCCAAUCCACUCAGACCAACCAAAACCAGUCUCAGGUCAUUGCUGAUUUCAGCUUCUGAAAGCAACAGGGGAAAUUCUUUCUCCACGUGCCAACCCUAAACUGCCAGUCCCUCCCCUGCACCCCGAGCUAGGGCGAACCCUCGCCCUCCUCCGGUACCCCGACCACGACCUGCAGAAAGUGGAGGAAGAAGAGGUGGUGGAGGAGGAAGGACAAAGGAAGGACGGUGGAGGAUGAAAGGAGGACGGAGAAGGGAGGGAUGGUGGAGGAUGAAAGGAGGAAGGAGAAGGGAGGGAUGGUGGAG